UACGUAGGUGGCAAGCGUUAUCCGGAUUUAUUGGGCGUAAAGCGAACGCAGGCGGUCUUUUAAGUCUGAUGUGAAAGCCUUCGGCUUAACCGGAGUAGUGCAUUGGAAACUGGGAGACUUGAGUGCAGAAGAGGAGAGUGGAACUCCAUGUGUAGCGGUGAAAUGCGUAGAUAUAUGGAAGAACACCAGUGGCGAAAGCGGCUCUCUGGUCUGUAACUGACGCUGAGGUUCGAAAGCGUGGGUAGCAAACAGG
Molecule: ribosomal RNA, 253 nt
Filed under: uncultured bacterium
Lineage: Bacteria
Description: partial 16S ribosomal RNA
Rfam family: Bacterial small subunit ribosomal RNA
Source: RNAcentral